AAGUCGUAACAAGGUCUCCGUAGGUGAACCUGCGGAGGGAUCAUUACUGAGUGAGGGCCCUCGUGGUCCGACCUCCAACCCAUUGUUGUCCGACUCUGUUGCCUCGGGGGCGACCCGGCCUUUGCGGGCUCGGGGCCCCCGACGGUCCACACAACUCUGCAUCUUUGCGUCUGAGUAAACAUUAAAUGAAACAAAACUUUCAACAACGGAUCUCUUGGUUCUG
This 223-nucleotide unclassified non-coding RNA is filed under the name air metagenome. RNAcentral describes it as "partial contains small subunit ribosomal RNA, internal transcribed spacer 1, and 5.8S ribosomal RNA". The stretch from base 1 to 46 matches the Rfam family "Eukaryotic small subunit ribosomal RNA", at positions 1786 to 1831 of the family's 1831-position model. The record is from RNAcentral.